CAUGCAAGUCGAACGAUGACUAUCUAGCUUGCUAGAUAUGAUUAGUGGCGAACGGGUGAGUAAUGCUUAGGAAUCUGCCUAGUAGUGGGGGAUAACUAUCCGAAAGGAUAGCUAAUACCGCAUACGACCUACGGGUGAAAGGGGGCUUUUAGCUCUCGCUAUUAGAUGAGCCUAAGUCGGAUUAGCUAGUUGGUGGGGUAAAGGCCUACCAAGGCGACGAUCUGUAGCUGGUCUGAGAGGAUGAUCAGCCACACUGGGACUGAGACACGGCCCAGACUCCUACGGGAGGCAGCAGUGGGGAAUAUUGGACAAUGGGCGAAAGCCUGAUCCAGCCAUGCCGCGUGUGUGAAGAAGGCCUUUUGGUUGUAAAGCACUUUAAGUAGGGAGGAAAAGCUUGUGGUUAAUACCCACAAGCCCUGACGUUACCUACAGAAUAAGCACCGGCUAA
RNAcentral lists this ribosomal RNA (448 nucleotides) under Moraxella bovis. RNAcentral's name for it is "bacterial SSU rRNA". It matches the Rfam family "Bacterial small subunit ribosomal RNA", at positions 54 to 500 of the family's 1533-position model. The record is from RNAcentral. Lineage: Bacteria; Pseudomonadati; Pseudomonadota; Gammaproteobacteria; Moraxellales; Moraxellaceae.